This 486-nucleotide ribosomal RNA is filed under the name uncultured bacterium. Its description in RNAcentral is "partial 16S ribosomal RNA". It matches the Rfam family "Bacterial small subunit ribosomal RNA", at positions 30 to 507 of the family's 1533-position model. The record is from RNAcentral.
AUUGAACGCUGGCGGCAUGCCUUACACAUGCAAGUCGAACGGCAGCACGGGUGCUUGCACCUGGUGGCGAGUGGCGAACGGGUGAGUAAUACAUCGGAACAUGUCCUGUAGUGGGGGAUAGCCCGGCGAAAGCCGGAUUAAUACCGCAUACGAUCUACGGAUGAAAGCGGGGGACCUUCGGGCCUCGCGCUAUAGGGUUGGCCGAUGGCUGAUUAGCUAGUUGGUGGGGUAAAGGCCUACCAAGGCAACGAUCAGUAGCUGGUCUGAGAGGACGACCAGCCACACUGGGACUGAGACACGGCCCAGACUCCUACGGGAGGCAGCAGUGGGGAAUUUUGGACAAUGGGCGAAAGCCUGAUCCAGCAAUGCCGCGUGUGUGAAGAAGGCCUUCGGGUUGUAAAGCACUUUUGUCCGGAAAGAAAUCCUUGGCCCUAAUACGGUCGGGGGAUGACGGUACCGGAAGAAUAAGCACCGGCUAACUACGUG